This 324-nucleotide ribosomal RNA is filed under the name uncultured eukaryote. RNAcentral describes it as "partial 18S ribosomal RNA". It matches the Rfam family "Eukaryotic small subunit ribosomal RNA", at positions 1470 to 1796 of the family's 1831-position model. The record is from RNAcentral.
CCUUUAGAUGUCCUGGGCUGCACGCGCGCUACACUGAUGUGUCCAGUAAGCACCUAACCUCUUCCGAAAGGAACGGGUAACCUUUGCAAAGCACAUCGUGAUGGGGAUAGAUUAUUGCAAUUAUUAGUCUUGAACGAGGAAUUCCUAGUAAGCACAAGUCAUCAGCUUGUGUUGAUUACGUCCCUGCCCUUUGUACACACCGCCCGUCGCUCCUACCGAUUGAAUGUUCCGGUGAGCUCUUCGGACUGCGCGGUCUGCAGUUUCUGCGUUCCGUGCGGAAAGUUGCGCAAACCUUAACAUUUAGAGGAAGGAGAAGUCGUAACA